This 168-nucleotide ribosomal RNA is filed under the name Thalamita chaptalii. RNAcentral's name for it is "partial 16S ribosomal RNA". The record is from RNAcentral. Lineage: Eukaryota; Metazoa; Arthropoda; Malacostraca; Decapoda; Portunidae.
GCUUUAUAANUUUAGGGAGAUCUUAUAAAUAUUUAAGUAACAAUAAUUUUUUAAAUGUUUAUUCGGUUGGGGCGACAAGAGUAUAACGAAAAUAACUGCUUUAAAUUAAGACAGAAAUAUCUGAAUCAUAGUUAAUUGAUCCUUUUUAAAGAUUCUAAGAUCAAGUUA